RNAcentral lists this ribosomal RNA (883 nucleotides) under uncultured bacterium. Its description in RNAcentral is "bacterial SSU rRNA". It matches the Rfam family "Bacterial small subunit ribosomal RNA", at positions 60 to 966 of the family's 1533-position model. The record is from RNAcentral.
AGUCGAGCGAUGAACCCUUCGGGGUGGAUUAGCGGCGGACGGGUGAGUAACACGUGGGUAACCUGCCUCAAAGAGGGGAAUAGCCUCCCGAAAGGGAGAUUAGUACCGCAUAAUAUGUUUUAAUCGCAUGAUUGAAACAUCAAAGGAGUAAUCCGCUUUGAGAUGGACCCGCGGCGCAUUAGCUAGUUGGUGAGGUAACGGCUCACCAAGGCGACGAUGCGUAGCCGACCUGAGAGGGUGAUCGGCCACAUUGGAACUGAGACACGGUCCAGACUCCUACGGGAGGCAGCAGUGGGGAAUAUUGCGCAAUGGGGGAAACCCUGACGUAGCAACGCCGCGUGAAUGAUGAAGGCCUUCGGGUUGUAAAGUUCUGUCUUCUGGGACGAUAGUGACGGUACCAGAGGAGGAAGCCACGGCUAACUACGUGCCAGCAGCCGCGGUAAUACGUAGGUGGCAAGCGUUGCCCGGAUUUACUGGGCGUAAAGGAUGCGUAGGCGGACAUUUAAGUCAGAUGUGAAAUACCCGAGCUUAACUUGGGUGCUGCAUUUGAAACUGGGUGUCUAGAGUGCAGGAGAGGUAAGUGGAAUUCCUAGUGUAGCGGUGAAAUGCGUAGAGAUUAUGAAGAACACCAGUGGCGAAGGCGACUUACUGGACUGUAACUGACGCUGAGGCAUGAAAGCGUGGGGAGCAAACAGGAUUAGAUACCCUGGUAGUCCACGCCGUAAACGAUGAUACUAGGUGGUCGGGGGUCGAACCUCGGUGCCGCAGUUAACACAAUAAGUAUUCCGCCUGGGGAGUACGAUCGCAAGAUUAAAACUCAAGGGAAUUUGACGGGGGCCCGCACAAGCAGCGGAGCAUGUGGUUUAUUUCGAGCAACGCGAAG